GGACGCUGCCUACUGGUGGCCGGGCGGGAUGUAACCGGCUGCUGAGCUGGCAGUUCUGUGUCGCUAGGCUUCUGCCCGGCCGCCGCCGCACAUAAGCCACGAGGAGGAGCUUUACGACUUCCCGGUCUUCGGCGCCGGGCGCAGCAAGGGCCAGACUCUGCGCUAGCAGGCGCUGCGCGCCAACCGGCCGGCACCUGUCGCAGAAGGUGCAACCGAUCGCACUGUCGCGCAGAAGCUCCUCAAUGGCCAGCGCCAGCUGCAGCCCCGGCCGCCCACUCGCCUCAUCUGAGCCUGGGCAAAUCUGGAUUGGGAAAGUUGACAUUAAUCAACUCAUUAUUCCUCACAGAUUUGUAUUCUCCAGAGUAUCCAGGUCCUUCUCAGAGAAUUAAAAAGCCUGUACAGGUCUAGAUAUUGGUAUUUUUAAUUGAUGAUAAGCUGGAAUAAUAUUAAUACACACAAAGCACGUGUUGUAACUUUCAUUAUGCUUCCUUAGAGCAGAAGGUAAGCAUGAGCAAAUUACUUUUUAGAGGUAACUUUGCUGAACUUGUGAAGAAUGGUGUGCAAGGUCCAGAGCGACUGCAGGAGAGGGAAGGUGGGAUUCCCACAGAGCAGGAGCACAGAUAAGCCAAGCAAGGCCCUGCUUGGAAGGCAGCAAUCAACAGAGAUGCACAGACCUGUGAGGGUGCCGGGACAGCCAUGCAACAAUGCAGCCCUUUUGCUUCCUGAGCUCACCAGUUCCCUCGCUCCACCUCUGAGAGGUGGUUUGGAGAAACACAGCCCUUCUCAAGAGGGCUGCAAGCUACUUAAGUCCUGAAAAUUUCCACAAGGCUGAGUCAAAUCUGCGUUUCAUCAUCUAUAAGAAAGGUACCUAUCGAGAACACCCUGCUGGCCAGUGUGUAAAUAUCUAAAGGAGGACUCAGAAAACACCGGGGAAGUCCAGCCUGCACGUGGUGGCUGGGCUUCAGUGAAGCAUGCAGCACAACAGGAGUUAGCAGACCACAAAGAGCAUGUCUGGACCUAGAACCACAGCAUGUAACCUCGGAAGCAGUGAGACACCAGCCAGCAUGGACAAGCAGCAGGCACUUGCUCUAUACCAGAUAGGUCCCACCUCCAGCCUUCCCCUGCUGCCAUCUAACAUCCUAAACUCCAGCUCUGAAUGUCUGUCUCCUGCUCUGAAUCUUCAGUGACUUCGAAACUCAAGUCAGGACACCUCUCAGUUUGGCCUCACUGCUCAAGAUUGAGCUGAAUUCAUGACCAUAAUUCAAGCAUUCAGAUUCAUGGGCUGUUUUGUGGGUUUUGCUAUCUCUUAUUUUGUUUUUGCACAUCUUACCCACUGAAACGUUGGGCUGCAAAAAGUUUGAUCACUAAAUAUGUAGGCAAUGCUGGAUACUGGGCUGUUAUUUACAUAUUUGUAUCACCUUUUAUUUCAUAAGAUAGCAUUGUCAGAGUAAUUUAGUAUUUCAACAUAAUCAACAAGUAAAAUAAAAUUAAUGAGAAUGAUCUUA
Long non-coding RNA from Homo sapiens (human), 1505 nucleotides. RefSeq annotates it as long independently transcribed non-coding RNA 1409. The record is from RefSeq and is marked validated. Lineage: Eukaryota; Metazoa; Chordata; Mammalia; Primates; Hominidae. The transcript is spliced from 6 exons.